This 484-nucleotide ribosomal RNA is filed under the name uncultured Glomus. Its description in RNAcentral is "SSU rRNA". It matches the Rfam family "Eukaryotic small subunit ribosomal RNA", at positions 587 to 1075 of the family's 1831-position model. The record is from RNAcentral. Lineage: Eukaryota; Fungi; Glomeromycota; Glomeromycetes; Glomerales; Glomeraceae.
AGCUCCAAUAGCGUAUAUUAAAGUUGUUGCAGUUAAAAAGCUCGUAGUUGAAUUUCGGGAUCAAUAUAUCGGUCGUGCCUUUGGUACGUACUGGUAUCAUUGAUUUCUCCUUUCUGACGAAUCAUGAUGUCAUUAAUUUGGUGUUAUGAGGAGUUAGGACUGUUACUUUGAAAAAAUUAGAGUGUUUAAAGCAGGCAUUAGCUUGAAUACAUUAGCAUGGAAUAAUGAAAUAGGACGUUUGACCCUAUUUUGUUGGUUUUUAGGAUCGACGUAAUGAUUAAUAGGGAUAGUUGGGGGCAUUAGUAUUCAAUUGUCAGAGGUGAAAUUCUUGGAUUUAUUGAAGACUAACUACUGCGAAAGCAUUUGCCAAGGAUGUUUUCAUUAAUCAAGAACGAAAGUUAGGGGAUCGAAGACGAUCAGAUACCGUCGUAGUCUUAACCAUAAACUAUGCCGACUAGGGAUCGGAUGAUGUUAAUUUUAUAAU